UUUCAGGAAAAAGCCAAAAUAAACAAAGGAAGAAAAUAUUUUGCUUUAAAGGAAGGAUAAUAUUAAAUUCUUCCUUGCGUUUUUUCACAACUGGAUUUCUGCACAAAGUGCUUCACAGUUUAGGACCAUUCAGAGUGUCAAUAUGAAGAGCUGGAAUGUGCAAAAGCAUGGCCCUGCAAGCACUGAGGGGAUCUGAUGGAAAUACCACAAGCUCAGUCACUCCGCUCUCAUGGUUUUUGGUUUUGGAUUCUUUUAAUGAAGUUUACCAAGGAGCCACCUGGUGAAGAAUCACCUUGUAUUUCCACUGGGUUCUUGAGAUAGUACCAAUCCAAAGGCAUGGACAUCCAUGGGAGCAGCAAACUGCGAACACACUCAAUCACAAGUUGUUGGAUACAGCACAUCCUCAUCCCUAGAGCAGAUGAGAGAUUAGUGUGUUUGUUAACCUCAGUAUCUUUCCUGUUGAAUGAAAUGGGUGGAAAUCAGAAAGCCUUGUGUCCGUGGACAAGUCAGAUAAUGUGCAAGGAGGUGAUGCUAACACAGGGCUGUUUCUUCUGGGAGCCUUACCAGCCUAGUCCAUAAAAAUGGAGGCUGGGCAUUUCAAGAAAGGGCUCAUCAUGCACAGAAACAGAGAGAGGUACCUGCAUGAAUUCCAAAACAACAAAGCACAUUUGAAUCUGGCCUCUGGUGUGAGCAGAGGAGUUCAGAUCUGCCUGCCCUGCCUGCAGACAUGAGUCCUGAGUUGUUUGGGAGCAUCUAUCCCAAAAAUUCCCACCCAAUCAGCUCAACUACCUUAAAACCUAUUCACG
RNAcentral lists this long non-coding RNA (806 nucleotides) under Zonotrichia albicollis (white-throated sparrow). RNAcentral describes it as "lncRNA (ENSZALG00000001314.1)". The record is from RNAcentral. Lineage: Eukaryota; Metazoa; Chordata; Aves; Passeriformes; Passerellidae.